This 464-nucleotide ribosomal RNA is filed under the name Escherichia coli. Its description in RNAcentral is "partial 23S ribosomal RNA". It matches the Rfam family "Bacterial large subunit ribosomal RNA", at positions 1290 to 1756 of the family's 2925-position model. The record is from RNAcentral. Lineage: Bacteria; Pseudomonadati; Pseudomonadota; Gammaproteobacteria; Enterobacterales; Enterobacteriaceae.
GCGAAUGCUGACAUAAGUAACGAUAAAGCGGGUGAAAAGCCCGCUCGCCGGAAGACCAAGGGUUCCUGUCCAACGUUAAUCGGGGCAGGGUGAGUCGACCCCUAAGGCGAGGCCGAAAGGCGUAGUCGAUGGGAAACAGGUUAAUAUUCCUGUACUUGGUGUUACUGCGAAGGGGGGACGGAGAAGGCUAUGUUGGCCGGGCGACGGUUGUCCCGGUUUAAGCGUGUAGGCUGGUUUUCCAGGCAAAUCCGGAAAAUCAAGGCUGAGGCGUGAUGACGAGGCACUACGGUGCUGAAGCAACAAAUGCCCUGCUUCCAGGAAAAGCCUCUAAGCAUCAGGUAACAUCAAAUCGUACCCCAAACCGACACAGGUGGUCAGGUAGAGAAUACCAAGGCGCUUGAGAGAACUCGGGUGAAGGAACUAGGCAAAAUGGUGCCGUAACUUCGGGAGAAGGCACGCUGAUA